Molecule: ribosomal RNA, 468 nt
Filed under: uncultured bacterium
Lineage: Bacteria
Description: partial 16S ribosomal RNA
Rfam family: Bacterial small subunit ribosomal RNA
Source: RNAcentral
GACGAACGCUGGCGGCGUGCCUAACACAUGCAAGUCGAACGGAAAGGCCCUGCUUUUGUUGGGUGCUCGUGUGGCGAACGGGUGAGUAACACGUGAGUAACCUGCCCUUGACUUUGGGAUAACUUCAGGAAACUGGGGCUAAUACCGGAUAGGAGCUCCUGCUGCACGGUGGGGGUUGGAAAGUUUCGGCGGUUGGGGAUGGACUCGCGGCUUAUCAGCUGGUUGGUGGAGUAGUGGAUUACCAAGGUUUUGAAGGGUAGCCGGCCUGGGAGGGGUACCGGGCACAAUGGGACUGAGAGACGGCGCAGACGCCUACGGGAGGCAGCAGGGGGGAGUAUUGCACAAUGAGCGCAAGCCUGAUGCGGCGACGCCGCGUGCGGGAUGCCGGCCUUCGGGUUGUGAACCACUUUCGAAGUUGACGAAGCGUGAGUGACGGUAAUGGGUAAGGAAGCACCGGCUAACUACGUG